This 73-nucleotide transfer RNA is filed under the name Apaloderma vittatum (bar-tailed trogon). It matches the Rfam family "tRNA". From Rfam's summary of the family: Transfer RNA (tRNA) molecules are approximately 80 nucleotides in length. The record is from Rfam by way of RNAcentral. Lineage: Eukaryota; Metazoa; Chordata; Aves; Trogoniformes; Trogonidae.
GGCCGGUUAGCUCAGUUGGUUAGAGCGUGGUGCUGAUAACGCCAAGGUCGUGGGUUCGAUCCCCGUUCGGUCC